CAUGCCGUAAACGUUGGGCACUAGGUGUGGGGCUCAUUCCACGAGUUCCGUGCCGCAGCAAACGCAUUAAGUGCCCCGCCUGGGGAGUACGGCCGCAAGGCUAAAACUCAAAGGAAUUGACGGGGGCCCGCACAAGCGGCGGAGCAUGCGGAUUAAUUCGAUGCAACGCGAAGAACCUUACCAAGGCUUGACAUACACCGGAAAGAUGCAGAGAUGUGUCCCCCGCAAGGUCGGUGUACAGGUGG
RNAcentral lists this ribosomal RNA (245 nucleotides) under uncultured Oerskovia sp. Its description in RNAcentral is "partial 16S ribosomal RNA". It matches the Rfam family "Bacterial small subunit ribosomal RNA", at positions 796 to 1041 of the family's 1533-position model. Lineage: Bacteria; Bacillati; Actinomycetota; Actinomycetes; Micrococcales; Cellulomonadaceae. The record is from RNAcentral.